UACGUAGGGGGCUAGCGUUGUCCGGAUUUACUGGGCGUAAAGAGCGCGCAGGCGGUCGUUCAAGUCGAGUGUGAAAGCCCCCGGCUCAACUGGGGAGGGUCACUCGAUACUGAUCGACUCGAAGGCAGGAGAGGGAAGCGGAAUUCCCGGUGUAGUGGUGAAAUGCGUAGAUAUCGGGAGGAACACCAGUGGCGAAGGCGGCUUUCUGGCCUGUUCUUGACGCUGAGGCGCGAAAGCUAGGGUAGCAAACGGG
RNAcentral lists this ribosomal RNA (253 nucleotides) under uncultured bacterium. Its description in RNAcentral is "partial 16S ribosomal RNA". It matches the Rfam family "Bacterial small subunit ribosomal RNA", at positions 524 to 776 of the family's 1533-position model. The record is from RNAcentral.